GAGAUAUAAACUUAUCUUGUACUUACUUUUUUGUUAUAGAUAUCGACAGCUACUAUUGGUAUACUUGGAGCUGUUGUAGCUUUAUCUUCAGAGUCAGAAGAUAAAUUAGGCACGUGCACAGCGUGGAUAUUGCCAUUUACCUCUGGAGGUUUUCUAAACAUAGCUUUGGUGAAUGUUUUGCCAGAUAUCAUGAAAGAAAAAGAUCCAUGGGAAUCGAUGAAGCAAAUGGCCUGUUUGUGCGGAGGUAUCGGAGUGAUGGGCUUAAUUAAUUUGCUAGUACACUAGUCAACAGCUGUGAUUGAAAAGAAAAGCAGCUGUCAGAAUAUCAUUUGGAACAUCUUCUGUUUCAA
Long non-coding RNA from Parasteatoda tepidariorum (common house spider), 350 nucleotides. Lineage: Eukaryota; Metazoa; Arthropoda; Arachnida; Araneae; Theridiidae. The record is from RefSeq and is a predicted model, not a curated record.